CUGCACUCAUAACCUACUGAUAUCCUACUGUAUGAAACGCAGGUAAAACACUGCACUCAUAACCUACUGAUAUCCUACUGUAUGAAACGCAGGUAAAACACUGCACUCAUAACCUACUGAUAUCCUACUGUAUGAAACGCAGGUAAAACACUGCACUCAUAACCUACUGAUAUCCUACUGUAUGAAACGCAGGUAAAACACUGCACUCAUAACCUACUGAUAUCCUACUGUAUGAAACGCAGGUAAAACACUGCACUCAUAACCUACUGAUAUCCUACUGUAUGAAACGCAGGUAAAACACUGCACUCAUAACCUACUGAUAUCCUACUGUAUGAAACGCAGGUAAAACACUGCACUCAUAACCUACUGAUAUCCUACUGUAUGAAACGCAGGUAAAACACUGCACUCAUAACCUACUGAUAUCCUACUGUAUGAAACGCAGGUAAAACACUGCACUCAUAACCUACUGAUAUCCUACUGUAUGAAACGCAGGUAAAACACUGCACUCAUAACCUACUGAUAUCCUACUGUAUGAAACGCAGGUAAAAUACUGCACUCAUAACCUACUGAUAUCCUACUGUAUGAAACGCAGGUGGUCUGUGAACACUGGAGAGCC
Oncorhynchus keta (chum salmon) is the source of this 616-nucleotide long non-coding RNA. RefSeq lists it as uncharacterized. The record is from RefSeq and is a predicted model, not a curated record. Lineage: Eukaryota; Metazoa; Chordata; Actinopteri; Salmoniformes; Salmonidae. The transcript is spliced from 3 exons.